GUGCGUAACAUUGGUUAUUUUAUAUAUCUAUAAGGCAUUGUGUUCCAACAUUUGCUAUAUCAUAUUAUGAUUUAAUUAUGAUUAUGAUGAACCCCAUAGAUUAGGGCAAUGAUUUUAAGAUCAUGAUGAGAUCAUAUCAGUGAGAUCUAAAAUCUUGAUAGUCCUAGUCUAAAAUAUUUUCAAUUAUAGGAUCAUCGAGUCAGAGAUCGAUGAUGUCAGUAAGACUGGUACAUCCUAUGUAUGCUCGAU
This 249-nucleotide long non-coding RNA is filed under the name Elaeis guineensis (African oil palm). RNAcentral describes it as "long non-coding RNA (EGUI_LNC058306)". Lineage: Eukaryota; Viridiplantae; Streptophyta; Magnoliopsida; Arecales; Arecaceae. The record is from RNAcentral.